RNAcentral lists this ribosomal RNA (466 nucleotides) under uncultured bacterium. RNAcentral's name for it is "partial 16S ribosomal RNA". It matches the Rfam family "Bacterial small subunit ribosomal RNA", at positions 28 to 506 of the family's 1533-position model. The record is from RNAcentral.
GAUGAACGCUGACAGAAUGCUUAACACAUGCAAGUCAACUUGAAUUUGGGUUUUUAACUUAGGUUUGGGUGGCGGACGGGUGAGUAACGCGUAAAGAACUUGCCUCACAGCUAGGGACAACAUUUGGAAACGAAUGCUAAUACCUAAUAUUAUGAUAAUAGGGCAUCCUAUAAUUAUGAAAGCUAUAAGCGCUGUGAGAGAGCUUUGCGUCCCAUUAGCUAGUUGGAGAGGUAACGGCUCACCAAGGCGAUGAUGGGUAGCCGGCCUGAGAGGGUGAUCGGCCACAAGGGGACUGAGACACGGCCCUUACUCCUACGGGAAGCAGCAGUGGGGAAUAUUGGACAAUGGACCAAGAGUCUGAUCCAGCAAUUCUGUGUGCACGAUGAAGUUUUUCGGAAUGUAAAGUGCUUUCAGUUGGGAAGAAAGAAAUGACGGUACCAACAGAAGAAGUGACGGCUAAAUACGU